RNAcentral lists this long non-coding RNA (780 nucleotides) under Vitis vinifera (wine grape). RNAcentral describes it as "long non-coding RNA (VVIN_LNC001810)". The record is from RNAcentral. Lineage: Eukaryota; Viridiplantae; Streptophyta; Magnoliopsida; Vitales; Vitaceae.
AUAAAACUUGGGUUUUAAUGAAAUUAUAACUUUAAAGAAUAAACCGAGUUUUCCAAGGAUGCAUGAAAAGAUAUGUAAAACCUAAGUGCACCCAUGCAUUCAUCUUACAUUUUUUUUCUAUGAUCAAAAGCCUUCCAAAUGUCUCGAUCUUGUAUCCAUUUUUUCAUUUGAUGAAUUUCCAAAUUUAUACCUGAGAUUCUUUACAAUUCAAACCAAUUAGUCACUUAACCAUGGUUUGUUAUCAUCAAAAUAUGAUUAUGAGAACCCUUGGGCUAACAGUUACACAUAGAAUAGGACUUACAAUGAAUCAUGAAACAAGGCCAUCGAUUUGUCAUGAUUCACCAAGCUACUAUAUUACAUGGACUCUUAACUUUAAGAGGAUAUUGUACUGAAAUCAAUAGGAGGCUUUGACCUAAGGAUGAGACCCUAAAAUGAUCAUAUAUUCUCUACGUAUUGUGUCAUUAUGAAGUAUGAAAAUAUUGGUAAUCACAGAUAUAUCAAAUAUAUCGAAGACAUAUCGAUAGAUAUUUUGAAAAAAAAAAUAUCGAUAAGCCUAAAAUUAAUCAAAACUUAUGGAAAUGUAAGAAAAACCUCAUAAAAAUGUAAUUACAAGUAUAAUAGACAUUUUAAAGUUAUUUUAUUUAAGAAUUUGAUAUAUGUAUGAUAUAAUUUAUCAUAUUUGAUAAUAAUAUCGAUGGAAAAAACCCGAAUCUUUUCGUUUCCCAAGCCUAGAUCAGGUUAGGAACAUGCAUAACUAUCCUAGGCCUUUUCUAAAUCCUA